CCGCGCCCGCCCCCAGUCCUCCGUCCGCGGGGCCCCACCGCGGUCACGUGAAGGGCCGAGCGGAGCGCGCCGAGCCCGGCCUGCUGCCGCCCGAGGGCAGAGUCCGCUGCCCGCGGCCCCGACUUUCCCCCAUUCCCGCUCCGCGCGCCGCCGCCGCGAUGCCCGGGGCCCACCGAGCCGCUGGGCUGCAUCGCCCACACCCGUCCUCCCCCGAGGAGCCGCCGGCCCAGGAGGACCUUCUCCUGGCAGCUGCCUAUGUUUCUGACGCUCAGUACAACAGAAACGUUCCAUUUGAAACAUCCCCUCAGGCUGUCAGACUUUACCAUUUCUAUAACCACUGGACAAUGCGGGCGGCCACCUACUUCUUCAUUUGGGGGGACCUCGCUCUUGCCCUCUUUGAGGAACCGGCCCUGUUCCCCCUGCCUUUCUUGGCUACCUCGAUAGCAGAAGUACUCUGUCUGACUGCAUUCUCUGGGAGACUUGUACACUUUGCGAAAGUCACUCCUCAGAUGGUUUUCUGGAAGGAUACGAAAAACAUCUGCAUCGUGGUAACCAUAGUGCUGACCUUGAUUGAUCUGAUUAUCUAUGGGUCCCUGGAGGCUGUUAACAUCCACGGAGUUCGAUGGUCAAGGGCCUUGAGGCCAGUCUUCCUAAUUAAUUUCCCUGAAAGUCGUCAGAUCCGAAGGGCUUUUCGAAGCAUCCGGAACACUCUGCCUGAUAUCCUCUACGUCUUCCUCUUGUUCAUCUUCAGCAUGUUGAUAUUCUCCCUCAUGGCCUUGAAGCUUUUUGGGGAUAGGGGUCUCAAAACAGUGGAAGGAUCACCCUACUUCACCAACAUCCUGGACAUAGCAUUUGAGCUCUACGUGCUGGUCACUACCGCAAACAGCCCCGAUGUCAUGAUGCCUGCCUAUGAGUUCAAUUGGUGGUAUUCUCUGUACUUUAUAACCUACAUCAUCAUCAACACCUACAUCUUCAUGUCCGUCUUUCUGGCCGUUGUCUACAACAAUUAUAGGAAGCACUUAAAGCGUGGAGUUUGGACCUGUCUGCCUCCUGGUGCUCUGUUUCUCACCACACGGGUUAUCCUUCCUGGGUUCCCUCAUUUGCACUUGAAUGAGAUUCGCACACUGGCAUACCUGAAGCGUCACAAAAUGAUAGAGGCUUUCAACAUUCUGAAAGUCAAGGUGGGCACAGAGUUUGUGGUGAAGGAGGCCCAGUGGAGGCAGCUGGCCAAGAUCGUGGCGCCAGACAUCAGCAGUUCCCACCUGGAGCUCCUUCUGAGGAUCUCCGACGAGGGACAGAAGGGUUAUGUGGACAAAAUGAACUUUCUACGCUUGGCUGACCUCCUCAACAUCCAGGUGGUCACCAUCAACAUCAAGAGACACCCGCUGGAAGCCUGGAUGCCUCGGGUAUACCAGUCGUCCCCAAGCCUCUUGGUUCAGAAGGUGGUUCGGCACAGGAUUUUUGUCUGGGUUUAUGAUGUCAUCAUUCUAAUAAAUGCCAUAUUCAUUGCUUUGGAUGAGAAAAACCCCUUAAUUUCCUAUGCAGAAUGGCUUUUCCUUUCUCUCUAUAUUAUUGAAAUUCUCCUGAAAUUGUACACGUACGAACCCAGAGCCUAUUUUGGAAGGAAGCAGUUCUGGAACUGGUUUGAUACGCUGAUCAUCAUCGCAGCCCUGGUGGCCACUGUGGCCAACACCACCAUUCAGUCAGCGAGAAAAUACAACAGUCAGCAGAUACUGGAUAUUGUCUUGAUUUUGAGAAUACUCCGGCUCUUACGGAUCAUUGUCAGCAUUCAGAGAUUCCGGGUGAUCGUGACCACCUUAAUUAACAUCGGCCCCACGAUGCUGACGUUUGGCGGUUUGGUCUUGGUGGUCUACUACGUGUUUGCCAUCAUCGGGAUGGAAGUGUUCCACGGCAAAGUCCACUUCUUUGACCCCAGUUCCACCAGUCCUGAUGCCCUGGAGUGUGGGAACCCAGCCCUAAAAGACUCAGCGUUUGCCCGAGGCAGGUACUGCAGGAACAACUUCAAUGACCUGGCUGCCUCUCUCAUCCUGCUGACAGAGCUCACCGUGGUUAACCAGUGGCACGUCCUCGCAGAUGGCUUUGCCCUCGUGACUCACCAGGCGUCAAAGCUGUAUUUCAUCGGCUUCCACGUCGUGGUCGUCAUCCUCAUUGUUAAUAUUUUCAUAGCGUUCAUCUUGGAAGCGUUUUUUGUGGCAUAUUCGUUAGAAAAAAGUGAAGUGGAAACUGCCAUUGAGAAGAAGAUUCAAGAGCUUGGAGUUGGGGUCCAAGAGGAAGAAGUGCAGGAUGGGAAGCUCAUUGACAAUGUGGACGCCAAGGACAGUGGCUUCAGUGGGGACGAUGGAGACAACAAAAGGAAGGCCUUGAAAGGACUGUACUUUAGAAUUGCAUCAAAAAAGUACAAGACCGUGGAUGCUUUGCUGCAGCAGAUGUUUGAGUCUGAAAUAGCUCCAGAGGAUGAAGGCCCUUCCUUGGAGGAGAUUCUGAACUUCUCACCCAGUGACAUACAUCCCAAGAAUCCCAGUUUUGAAAACAGUGCCUGACCCUGGGCCUGUAAGGGCCACAGGCAUGCACAACUGGAAACCAAGAUAAGCUGUCCUCACUGUUUGCAGAUGCUACCUAGAGGUUACUUUCCCAGCCCAGGUUCUCUUCUGUGUUCUGAUAAGACUGUGAAUCGGCCUCCCCUGCCCUGAGUGGUCAGCUCUGUGUGCUCUCCUGAGGUCAUGCUUAGGGCUGACCAUGGAGGUGAGGAAAGGAAAAUCUACAAGGAGACUGGAGAGCACUUACCAUACAAGUGUUUGUACGUGUGUAAAUCCUCUCAGUGGCUCCUGGCGGCCACCAUUCUACUUUCUGUCUCUGUGAAUUUGGCUACUCCUGAUCACAACUGCAUUGUGAGCAAGUCUUGCCCGUGGGAACGAUGUCCACCUCUGCUGGGAUAUGACAGCAAUCAAAACAUCCUGGAAGCCUUCUGUUGAGGACGGCAGGGUCGGGGCCAGUAAAGGAUCGCCCAUCCCAGACUGUUAACGUGAGAUCAAAAUCACUUGUGUCUUCUCUAAGCUGCCCUGUGUGGGUUCUGUUACCGGAGCUUAGCCUGCCUGCAGCCUGACCAAUCCAGAAAUGGGUUCAUCUGAACCAUUCGGAAUGGAACCAACGGGACAGAUGGACUCAGUGGAGGGAUGAGGUAAAAGGAGGACCAGGGGCACUGACUCCUGGGACCAGUGGCAGGGAAGCAGCUUUGCAGGUGUGUUUGCAUAUCGUGCUGAUGCCCAUGCAUCUUGGAGCAUUAUUUCUGAUAGGCCCGGACCACACUUUUGGUGUCUCAGGUGCGUCUUAUGAAAAAAUACAUUUUAGAACCAUUGCCUUAGACACAGAUAUAAUCCAGGGUGAGAAGGCACUGGUAACAGGAGUCUCUGAGUCUCUGGAGUAACCAACCUUGUUCUUAGCUGGGACUUAGCACGUGGAGCGGGGCUGCCGAGAAUGAAUGGGAAAGGCCUUGGCCGGAGUAGGUAUUAAAUCAGAACCUAGGCUGAAUCUAGCUGGUGUUUGGGCACUUAGGAUGAGCUGGGCCCUUGCUCAGCUCUGUCCCUGGGGAAACUCCAUCUCCUUAGUGGGUGAGCUGGACGUUUCUUUGCCUUCCAACUCUGAUGUCUGUGGCAUCCGUCUCGGUGGCCCUGUAGAUGCAGAGCUUAUUUCCUUGUGCAGAUGAACUGUGUGUUUUUGUGUAUAAUUUAUAAUGAAAUGAAGAUGAUCACUGUAGUUUGUACCAGGAAAUGGACCAAGAAACCCACCUACUUUCCUGAAGUGCUUAAAGCAACUUCUUUCAUUUGGAUGGAGCCUUCCUCCCUGGGGGCAAGGCUGUUGCUUAGGAAAUCUGACUGUGAAGUUUAUGUAAGCGGAGCCCUUGGCAUAGACUGGGCACCAGAUGGGCAGCAGCAGUGCUGAGAUGACGCUGGUCAGGUUGAAGUUGUUGGUGUGAAUGGCAUAGAAGGUAUCUUGGGUGCGAUAGGAGUUGAAGAUCCAGUAACAGCAAACGGGCUGGCGGGGACGCAGGAUAUGUUGACAGGGGCUGGAAGCCGAGGCCAAGUGUCCUCUCUGCCCAAGACUGAAGGCACCCACAGCUGCCUUUCAUGGAUGGACACAUUUCGUUAUUAGUUUAGUAAAAUAGCACCCUUAUCUACUUUAGUCUUGUUUCCUUUGAAAACAGACAUUUUCAAGAGGAAAAAUUUUAAAAUCCCACAAAUCUGGCUUUAUCAAUGCUCACUUUUGACACUUUAAGAGUAAAUUUAAUGUUGGUUUGUCUGAUGAGGUCUUGUCCCUGGAUCAACUUCCUUCCAAUUUCAGUGUAUGUGUAAUCAAUCGCAUAGGUUACGUUCUUUAUUUUCAAAAUAAAGCAUAUUUGGAAUCCCAUUCUAUUAAUUUAUCCUGCAGACACAUUUGUAUCUGCAGUCACUUUUUUGUAGCAAUAAAAUUGUGAAACUAAUUGUCUCUAAAUAGAGAAUUGUUUAACUAAAAUAUGGUACAUUCAUAUAGGGGAAUGGCAUAUAGCUGGUCCAAUACAGAUGAAAAGAGGGGCAAGAAAACUGAAAUAAUGUUGUGAUUCACACUUGCAAAAAGAAAUGAAUGGAUACUUCUUCAACGUGAUUAAAAAAGGCUACCUCAGGCCAGCCUCAUGAGCUUACUGGAUAAACAUGGGAGGAGCUCCUUCUAAAGCAGGAGACAGAGACGUCCAGCACCAUCCCUGUUUAGCCCUCUUCUCAUGGUCCUGGGCAAUGGCGAAGGGAAGAGAAAAAUCACCAGCGAAAAACUGGCAAAGAUAUAAAAUAAGCGGCAUUUUCAUAGUGAUGGUUAUUUACUUGGAAACUUCAAAAGAGUCAACUGAAAAGCUUUUUAUAUAAAUCAGUAGUCUUCAUAUAGUCAAAGUACCAGCUAGAAAAAACAAGAAAAAGUGACAUCUGAUUUAAAACAACCAAAAGUUUAGUCUUAAAUAUUUAAAUCAGUACUAAUAUUAAAAACAUUAGAAGACUCUUUUCUUAUUCUCUCAAUCGAAGAUGGCAUUUUAAGAUGCAAAAGCCAAAAAAGCCUUUAAAAAACUUUAUAAAUCAGAGUACGAAACAAAAUUAAAAAUCUUCAUGUCAACAGAAAUCUUAAGAGACAGACGACCAAUUGGGAGAAAUACAAAGGGGUCCUACAACUUAAACUGAAAAAGAGCAAUCCCAGGUGAGAAACUGACAAAGGAUAGAGUUCACGGAAAAAGAAAAAAACACAUAGCUCUUGAAUAUAUGAAUAUAUUUGGCCUAAUUCAGAAGAGAAUGCAAAUGAAGACCACAAGGAAAUACCAUUUUGUCACCUGUCAGAGUGGCAAGGGUCAAAGAGCCUGACAUGUCCUGUUGGUGGAGGUGUGGGGAACAGACUCUGAUCCCUGCUGGUACAGCCCUACAGGGGGAUUAUGUGCAAUACUGAGACAAAAAUUUAAAUGCCCUUACCUUUGACCCAGCAAUUUCGCUUCUAGGAUUUUACACUACAAGUUAUGGCUAUAUAUCAUACAACCAAAUAUUACACAGCCAUCACAAGAAUGAGACCAUUCUAUAUGUACUUACAUUCUCCACCAUACAUUAGGUGAAAAAAAGCAGAAUUAUGCUAGCUUUGUCAAAAAACAUUAUAUAUAUAUAUAUUCAUGGAAUAAUUUUUGGAAAGGUCAGAAAACGUGGGCUGAGGUUGUCUCUGGAAUGGGGAACCUGGUGGCUGGGAGUUAGGGUGGAAGCGGAAGCCAGUCACUGUGUCUUCUUGAACUGGGUGUCCCCUCACAUUUGUCUUCAUCACGUGCUAAGGGAAGAGGGAGGGAUAGAGGAGGGAAGGUCAAUUCAGGUUAUAGGACCCUUCCAGCUUUAAGUCAAUAAACGCUAAGUUGGCUGCUAUAAUUUCAGAGCUAAUUAAUGAUGCAUGGAGCUUACAUGAUUAUUUUCAAGAUCUGAGAUAUUCUUUUGAAUCAUGCUUUUAAAAAACAAAGCUUAAGAUUUAUACCUGCAAUAUUUCCCAUGGAUAGCAAUGAAGAACAAGUACAAUAAAGGACAGGCACAUUCAAUUCAUAAAAACAUUAAGUCUGCUAAAUAUAUUUGGGGAAUUUUUAUUUUACACAAAUAUAAACCCCCAAAUUUAGAAAAAAACAAACAAACCUGACUUGGCUCUUUUUUGGCUUAAAGUGAACAGGUCAGUGCUUAAAAAGUGCUUUUAGAGAAUGUUCUCUUGCCGAUUACUCUCAUGAAUGCUUGCAUCCCAAGAGCUGCCCAGUCAGCCUGCUACGCAGGGAUGUUACUGUGUUGUGUAUUUUGUUGAAAUAUUUGUAACAACUAUGUCCCAGGGAUAUACUUUGUGGGCUUUAUUUUUAAGAAACAUUUACAUAAACAAUAAAUGUGGAAACAUCAAGGUUCACAGUGAGCAGGCCAGCAUUUACAAAGCGACUUUUAGGAAGUGUCCAUAUUUUAUUUUCGAGAACGCUUAUAUUCUAAGAGCAGUACAAUUAGCCUAUUACGAAGGGUCUUAAUCUUGUUUGUAUAGUGUUCUUGAAAUACUUUCUUCAGCUUCUGCCUUAACAAAUCCAAAGAUGGAAGAUGAUGACAAUCUGGUAUAUUCAACAUUAUGUGAAAAAAUUCAUUCCACAUAUCCAGAUGAGGAAGCCUGGAGAGACAAAGCAUAAAUGAAGGAUAAAAUGUAGCCUUCAGGGCUUCCCUGGUGGCUCAGUGGUUAAGAAUCCACCUGCCAAUGCAGGGGACACGGGUUCAAGCCCUGGUCUGGGAAGAUCCCACAUGCUGCAGAGCAACUCAGCCCAUGCGCCACAACUACUGAGCCUGCGCUCUAGAGCCUGUGAGCCACAGCUACUGAGCCCACGUGCCACAACUACUGAAGCCUGUGGGCCUAGAGCCCAAGCUCCACAAAAAGAGAAGCCACCUCAAUAAGAAGCCCACGCACUGCAACGAAGAGUAGCCCCUGCUUGCCGAAACUAGAGAAAGCCCGUGUGCAGCAACAAAGACCCAAUGCAGCCAAUAAAUAAAUAAAUUAAUUAAUUAUUUUUUUAAAAAGUAGCCUUCAGCGUGCAGGGCAAUCGCACUCUUACAUCUGACUUAACUCUAACCUCAACCCAACCUAAUGCAUCAAGAAUGGAUAUGUUGGUGGGAAUGUAAAUUGAUACAACCACCAUGGAAAACAGUAUGGAGGUUCCUUAAAAAACUAAAAAUAGAACUACCAUAUGACCCAGCAAUCCCACUACUGGGCAUAUACCCUGAGAAAACCAUAAUGCAAAAAGAGUCAUGUACCACAGUGUUCAUUGCAGAACUACUAUUUACAAUAGCCAGGACAUGGAACCAACCUAAAUGUCCAUUGACAGAUGAAUGGAUAAAGAAGAUGUGGCACAAUGGAAUGAAGCAAAUCAGAAAGAGAAAAACAAAUACCAUAUGCUAACGCAUAUAUAUGGAAUCUAAAAAAAAAAAAAAAAGGUACUGAUGAACAUAGUUGCAGGGCAGGAAUAAAGAUACAGACAUAGA
Molecule: RNA transcript, 7556 nt
Organism: Globicephala melas (long-finned pilot whale)
Lineage: Eukaryota; Metazoa; Chordata; Mammalia; Artiodactyla; Delphinidae
Gene name: two pore channel protein 2-like
Source: RefSeq, a predicted model, not a curated record